RNAcentral lists this transfer RNA (73 nucleotides) under Danio rerio (zebrafish). Its description in RNAcentral is "tRNA-Tyr (GTA) (tRNA-Tyr-GTA-14-1)". It matches the Rfam family "tRNA". From Rfam's summary of the family: Transfer RNA (tRNA) molecules are approximately 80 nucleotides in length. Their secondary structure includes four short double-helical elements and three loops (D, anti-codon, and T loops). Lineage: Eukaryota; Metazoa; Chordata; Actinopteri; Cypriniformes; Danionidae. The record is from RNAcentral.
CCUUCGAUAGCUCAGUUGGUAGAGCGGAGGACUGUAGAUCUUUAGGUCGCUGGUUCGACUCCGGCUCGAAGGA